GAGUUGAUAAUGGCUCAGAACGAACGUUAUCGUUAUGGUUAAAACAUGCAAGUCGAACGGACUAAUUGGGGCUUGCUCCAAUUAGUUAGUGGCAGACGGGUGAGUAACACGUGGGAAUCUACCCAUCAGUACGGAAUAACUUUUAGAAAUAAAAGCUAAUACCGUAUAUUCUCUACGGAGGAAAGAUUUAUCGCUGAUGGAUGAGCCCGCGUCAGAUUAGGUAGUUGGUGAGGUAAUGGCUCACCAAGCCGACGAUCUGUAGAUGGUUUGAGAGGAUGAUCAGCCACACUGGGACUGAGACACGGCCCAGACUCUUACGGGAGGCAGCAGUGGGGAAUAUUGGACAAUGGGCGGAAGCCUGAUCCAGCAAUACCGAGUGAGUGAUGAAGGCCUUAGGGUUGUAAAACUCUUUUAGCAAGGAAGAUAAUGACGUUACUUGCAGAAAAAGCCCCGGCUAAAUCCGUGCCAGCAGCCGCGGUAAGACGGGGGGGGCUAGCGUUGUUCGGAAUUACUGGGCGUAAAGAGUGCGUAGGCGGUUUAGUAAGUUGGAAGUGAAAGCCCGGGGCUUAACCUCGGAAUUGCUUUCAAAACUACUAAUCUAGAGUGUAGUAGGGGAUGAUGGAAUUCCUAGUGUAGAGGUGCCCCUCUUAGAUAUUAGGAGGACCACCCGGUGGCGAAGGCGGUCAUCUGGGCUACAACUGACGAUAAUGCACGAAAGGGUGGGGAGCNNACAGGAUU
This 738-nucleotide ribosomal RNA is filed under the name uncultured bacterium. RNAcentral's name for it is "bacterial SSU rRNA". It matches the Rfam family "Bacterial small subunit ribosomal RNA", at positions 9 to 779 of the family's 1533-position model. The record is from RNAcentral. RNAcentral also lists the same sequence under 1 other name.